CUUCCGUAAGGGGGACCUGCGGAAGGAUCAUUACCGAGUGUAGGGUUCCUAGCGAGCCCAACCUCCCACCCGUGUUUACUGUACCUUAGUUGCUUCGGCGGGCCCGCCAUUCAUGGCCGCCGGGGGCUCUCAGCCCCGGGCCCGCGCCCGCCGGAGACACCACGAACUCUGUCUGAUCUAGUGAAGUCUGAGUUGAUUGUAUCGCAAUCAGUUAAAACUUUCAACAAUGGAUCUCUUGGUUCCGGCAUCGAUGAAGAACGCAGCGAAAUGCGAUAACUAGUGUGAAUUGCAGAAUUCCGUGAAUCAUCGAGUCUUUGAACGCACAUUGCGCCCCCUGGUAUUCCGGGGGGCAUGCCUGUCCGAGCGUCAUUGCUGCCCAUCAAGCACGGCUUGUGUGUUGGGUCGUCGUCCCCUCUCCGGGGGGGACGGGCCCCAAAGGCAGCGGCGGCACCGCGUCCGAUCCUCGAGCGUAUGGGGCUUUGUCACCCGCUCUGUAGGCCCGGCCGGCGCUUGCCGAACGCAAAUCAAUCUUUUCCAGGUUGACCUCGGAUCAGGUAGGGAUACCCGCUGAACUUAAGCAUAUCAAAAGCCGGAGGAA
RNAcentral lists this ribosomal RNA (598 nucleotides) under Aspergillus oryzae. RNAcentral's name for it is "eukaryotic LSU rRNA". The stretch from base 216 to 369 matches the Rfam family "5.8S ribosomal RNA". Lineage: Eukaryota; Fungi; Ascomycota; Eurotiomycetes; Eurotiales; Aspergillaceae. The record is from RNAcentral.